UGCCCUCGUUGCUGCGUGGUUGCCGCAGCCUCCGGGUAACCUACCACCCUUUGUUUAUUACACUUUGUUGCUUUGGCAGGCCUGCCCUCGGGCUGCUGGCUCCGGCCGGCGAGCGCUUGCCAGAGGACCUAAACUCUGUUUGUCUAUACUGUCUGAGUACUAUAUAAUAGUUAAAACUUUCAACAACGGAUCUCUUGGUUCUGGCAUCGAUGAAGAACGCAGCGAAAUGCGAUAAGUAAUGUGAAUUGCAGAAUUCAGUGAAUCAUCGAAUCUUUGAACGCACAUUGCGCCCCCUGGUAUUCCGGGGGGCAUGCCUGUCCGAGCGUCAUUACAACCCUCAAGCUCAGCUUGGUAUUGGGCCCCGCCGACCCGGCGGGCCCUAAAGUCAGUGGCGGUGCCGUCCGGCUCCGAGCGUAGUAAUUCUUCUCGCUCUGGAGGUCCGGUCGUGUGCUCGCCAGCAACCCCCAAUUUUUUUCAGGUUGACCUCGGAUCAGGUAGGGAUACCCGCUGAACUUAAGCAUAUCAAUAAGCCGGAGGA
This 538-nucleotide ribosomal RNA is filed under the name Geomyces sp. Di95-2. Its description in RNAcentral is "eukaryotic LSU rRNA". The stretch from base 175 to 328 matches the Rfam family "5.8S ribosomal RNA". Lineage: Eukaryota; Fungi; Ascomycota; Leotiomycetes; Thelebolales; Pseudeurotiaceae. The record is from RNAcentral.